AUGGCUCUUUUACACAUUCUGACGUGUACUUUCUGGAACGUUUUGUUUCAAUCCCACUCACUGAUGAAUAAGCUUAAGAUGCCAAGAAUAGAUUACUAUGCCCUUUUCGCUAACAACGACAGAAACCCACUGUUCGUAGUUUGAUAGUAGGUGGGCGGACAUAU
This 164-nucleotide small nucleolar RNA is filed under the name Tetrapisispora phaffii CBS 4417. Lineage: Eukaryota; Fungi; Ascomycota; Saccharomycetes; Saccharomycetales; Saccharomycetaceae. The record is from RNAcentral.